AUCCGGGUUGAGGUAGUAGGUUGUAUGGUUUAGAGUUACACCCAGGAGUUAACUGUACAACCUUCUAGCUUUCCUUGGA
Laticauda laticaudata (blue-ringed sea krait) is the source of this 79-nucleotide microRNA precursor. NCBI's taxonomy places the organism in Eukaryota, Metazoa, Chordata, Lepidosauria, Squamata, Elapidae. The record is from Ensembl.